GAUGAACGCUGGCGGCGUGCCUAAUACAUGCAAGUCGAACGAGUUCUCGUUGAUGAUCGGUGCUUGCACCGAGAUUCAACAUGGAACGAGUGGCGGACGGGUGAGUAACACGUGGGUAACCUGCCCUUAAGUGGGGGAUAACAUUUGGAAACAGAUGCUAAUACCGCAUAGAUCCAAGAACCGCAUGGUUCUUGGCUGAAAGAUGGCGUAAGCUAUCGCUUUUGGAUGGACCCGCGGCGUAUUAGCUAGUUGGUGAGGUAAUGGCUCACCAAGGCGAUGAUACGUAGCCGAACUGAGAGGUUGAUCGGCCACAUUGGGACUGAGACACGGCCCAAACUCCUACGGGAGGCAGCAGUAGGGAAUCUUCCACAAUGGACGCAAGUCUGAUGGAGCAACGCCGCGUGAGUGAAGAAGGCUUUCGGGUCGUAAAACUCUGUUGUUGGAGAAGAAUGGUCGGCAGAGUAACUGUUGUCGGCGUGACGGUAUCCAACCAGAAAGCCACGGCUAACUACGUGCCAGCAGCCGCGGUAAUACGUAGGUGGCAAGCGUUAUCCGGAUUUAUUGGGCGUAAAGCGAGCGCAGGCGGUUUUUUAAGUCUGAUGUGAAAGCCCUCGGCUUAACCGAGGAAGCGCAUCGGAAACUGGGAAACUUGAGUGCAGAAGAGGACAGUGGAACUCCAUGUGUAGCGGUGAAAUGCGUAGAUAUAUGGAAGAACACCAGUGGCGAAGGCGGCUGUCUGGUCUGUAACUGACGCUGAGGCUCGAAAGCAUGGGUAGCGAACAGGAUUAGAUACCCUGGUAGUCCAUGCCGUAAACGAUGAAUGCUAGGUGUUGGAGGGUUUCCGCCCUUCAGUGCCGCAGCUAACGCAUUAAGCAUUCCGCCUGGGGAGUACGACCGCAAGGUUGAAACUCAAAGGAAUUGACGGGGGCCCGCACAAGCGGUGGAGCAUGUGGUUUAAUUCGAAGCAACGCGAAGAACCUUACCAGGUCUUGACAUCUUUUGAUCACCUGAGAGAUCAGGCUUCCCCUUCGGGGGCAAAAUGACAGGUGGUGCAUGGUUGUCGUCAGCUCGUGUCGUGAGAUGUUGGGUUAAGUCCCGCAACGAGCGCAACCCUUAUGACUAGUUGCCAGCAUUUAGUUGGGCACUCUAGUAAGACUGCCGGUGACAAACCGGAGGAAGGUGGGGAUGACGUCAAAUCAUCAUGCCCCUUAUGACCUGGGCUACACACGUGCUACAAUGGAUGGUACAACGAGUUGCGAGACCGCGAGGUCAAGCUAAUCUCUUAAAGCCAUUCUCAGUUCGGACUGUAGGCUGCAACUCGCCUACACGAAGUCGGAAUCGCUAGUAAUCGCGGAUCAGCACGCCGCGGUGAAUACGUUCCCGGGCCUUGUACACACCGCCCGUCACACCAUGAGAGUUUGUAACACCCGAAGCCGGUGGCGUAACCCUUUUAGGGAGCGAGCCGUCUAAGGUGGGACAAAUGAUUAGGGUG
This 1492-nucleotide ribosomal RNA is filed under the name Lactobacillus sp. Its description in RNAcentral is "bacterial SSU rRNA". It matches the Rfam family "Bacterial small subunit ribosomal RNA". The record is from RNAcentral. Lineage: Bacteria; Bacillati; Bacillota; Bacilli; Lactobacillales; Lactobacillaceae. RNAcentral also lists the same sequence under 1 other name.